AUGACCAAAUUGGUAGUGGUGUAUGGAAUGGGCUCAGAGCCAUCCAAUUCCAAUCCACUUUUGCCUUCUGGCCUUCAUGCAGUUGGUAAACCUGUGAUUGUUGUACAGACUCAAGUUUCUGUCUUGAAGUUUAAGUACAUUCAUAAAAAAGGCAAGGAGAAGAUGAUUGGUGGUCGUUCACCACAUAUUAGACAAUCUAUGUAUAUUUAUCAUUCUCACCAGCUGAUAAAACAUUCUCUAUCACAUCCUUUAUUUACGUCUCGAGUUAUCUAUGAUAAGGGCGCACUUUACCUUCUAGUUACACUGAACGUGCUCUGUUGUCUAUCUACUCUUUGUGUUUUCAGCUCUUGGAUUUCCUCAGGGGUUGCUGCCCAAUCGCCAAAAGCAGAGCUUAAUUGGUUUUCAGCGAUGCAAAGUACACUGGCAGUGUGGUGUAUGCCAUUGCCAAGGAGCACACAGAGGAAGAAGCUCUUGCACCAUGCUACAUCACGGUCCAGUUAA
Molecule: ribosomal RNA, 501 nt
Filed under: Triticum aestivum (bread wheat)
Lineage: Eukaryota; Viridiplantae; Streptophyta; Magnoliopsida; Poales; Poaceae
Description: partial small subunit ribosomal RNA
Source: RNAcentral